This 458-nucleotide ribosomal RNA is filed under the name uncultured bacterium. Its description in RNAcentral is "partial 16S ribosomal RNA". It matches the Rfam family "Bacterial small subunit ribosomal RNA", at positions 338 to 795 of the family's 1533-position model. The record is from RNAcentral.
CCUACGGUGUGCAGCAGUGGGGAAUAUUGCACAAUGGGGGAAACCCUGAUGCAGCGACGCCGCGUGAGUGAAGAAGUAUUUCGGUACGUAAAGCUCUAUCAGCAGGGAAGAAAAAAAGUCCUUUGGACUUUGGACGGUACCUGACCAAGAAGCCCCGGCUAACUACGUGCCAGCAGCCGCGGUAAUACGUAGGGGGCAAGCGUUAUCCGGAUUUAUUGGGUUUAAAGGGUGCGUAGGCUGUGAGGUAAGUCAGCGGUGAAAUGCCCCCGCUCAACGGGGUGAAGUGCCAUUGAUACUGCCUUGCUGGAAUGCGGAUGCCGUGGGAGGAAUGUGUGGUGUAGCGGUGAAAUGCAUAGAUAUCACACAGAACACAGAUUGCGAAGGCAUCUCACGAAUCCGCGAUUGACGCUGAUGCACGAAAGCGUGGGUAUCAAACAGGAUUAGAUACCCCGGUAGUC